RNAcentral lists this ribosomal RNA (385 nucleotides) under Virilastacus retamali. RNAcentral's name for it is "partial 12S ribosomal RNA". The record is from RNAcentral. Lineage: Eukaryota; Metazoa; Arthropoda; Malacostraca; Decapoda; Parastacidae.
CCCUAUUACACUUAACAGAAAUUAAUUAAUACUGGAAUAUUAAUAGAUAUAUUCUUUAAAUUCAGAGAAUUUGGCGGUAUUUUAGUCUAGUUAGAGGAACCUGUUUUAUAAGCGAUACUACACGUAAUAUCUCACUUAUUUUUAUUUAGUUUGUAUACCGUCAUUAUUAGAUAACUUUGAUAGAUGGGAGUUAUUAGGAUUAAAAUAUUAAAUAUAUUAGAUCAAGGUGCAGCUGAUGGAUAAGGAGGAAUGGGUUACAAUAAAAUUUAUUUAUUACGAAUCAAUUUUCGAAGGAGGGUUGUUAAAGGCGGAUUUAAUUGUAAUUAUUGUUUAAUAAGCUAUAAUGAUACAAGAACUAAAUUAUGUACAUAUCGCCCGUCGCUAU